CCCCUUGCUGAACGUUUUUUUUGCCGUUCCCCAGUCGCUGCCACGAUGGGAGCACCCCGGUGCAUGCAGCUGCAUUUUCAGGAAACCAGCAGAUCCUCAGCAGGUUACUGGAUGAAGGAGGAGAUCUCAGAGUCCACGACAAAGAGGGCAAAACUCCCCAGUUCUGGGCUUUGUCAGCCAGGAAGGAAAGCAGUGCUCAGAUGCUGGAAUUUAUCCAACAGUGCACACUGCACAUGCAAGCUGCAAUUUGGAACCUUCCCUCUGAUCUGCUCAGGAAAGUUGGCUCCUCAAAGGCCUUGAUCUGCAGCCCCUCGAGGUUUGGUGGCCUUGUCCAAGGAAAUGCUGAUAAUUCACUGGGAAAAUUCCUGAAAGGACAGCCCAGUGUGGCCAGGAACAUUUACAGCUUUGGUUUUGGGAAGGUAAGAUGCUGUGGGUAGGGA
Cyanistes caeruleus (blue tit) is the source of this 440-nucleotide non-coding RNA. NCBI's taxonomy places the organism in Eukaryota, Metazoa, Chordata, Aves, Passeriformes, Paridae. The record is from RefSeq and is a predicted model, not a curated record.